This 95-nucleotide ribosomal RNA is filed under the name marine eukaryotic metagenome. The record is from RNAcentral.
AGCAGGUGGGGUACACCCGUUCUCAUUCCGAACACGGAAGUUAAGCCACCUCGCGCCGAUGGUACUUCGCUUUGCGAGGCAGAGUAGGUCAUCGC